This is a long non-coding RNA of Drosophila subpulchrella, 519 nucleotides long. RefSeq lists it as uncharacterized. The record is from RefSeq and is a predicted model, not a curated record. The transcript has 3 exons. NCBI's taxonomy places the organism in Eukaryota, Metazoa, Arthropoda, Insecta, Diptera, Drosophilidae.
UGUUGUUGUUUUUCUGGAAGGCACGCGCCUUUUUUCGUCUUUUCACUUGCGAUUACUUAAGUGAAGGAGAAGUACAAGCAAAAGUACAAGCAAUUAACUUUGUUAUAUUAAAUAUACAAGUGGCUUAAAAGUGAAAGAGAAACUAUUCCCAGACAAGGCUAAUGGUAAAUCUAUAAAAAAAAUGGAAGGCUAAGUCGAUCCAUUUUAAGCAUAUUAUCCGAGGAACUUGUUCUAUCCCACAACUUGGAAGGGGGCCAAAACAAGAAGAAGCUCAAAGUCUACCCAAAUUUCGUCUGCGCCUUAUUAAAUGCAAUCGCUCUGGUGGAGCCCUCGGAGCCUCCCGAAAAGGCGCUGCAGAAGGCAAUGCGGUGCGUUAAAGACUUGAGUUGCACCAAAAAAAAGGCAACGCCGGCACCAGAUGCUGAAGAGGAGGUGCCAACGACCCCGAUAACGCCGGGAACCCCCGAGCUCAAAUUAUAAAAUAAAUAAAUGCAAAUAAAAAUUAUAACUAAAAUUAUA